RNAcentral lists this long non-coding RNA (221 nucleotides) under Brassica napus (rape). RNAcentral's name for it is "long non-coding RNA (BNAP_LNC020379)". The record is from RNAcentral. Lineage: Eukaryota; Viridiplantae; Streptophyta; Magnoliopsida; Brassicales; Brassicaceae.
UUUUUCUUAAAAGACUUCUAAAGUCAAUGCAAGUGCACAAAACAAAAAGAUAAAUCAGCUGAAAUAUAAUUCCCCAUCAUAUCUUUAAGAAAUAAUUGACGUAUAUAUAAGUUGUUUCCACAAACUGUUUGUAUUAUACUAUACUAGAUAAAUAGACAGGAAACGAGAAACCAUGCACGUCACACGUUUAUUGACCACAUACACUGAAUAUUCUAUUUCAU